AAAAAAAUAAAAAGUAUAACAACUAAAAAAAAAGAGCAGGUUUGAAUCCAACACUAUAAACAACCAUCAACAGAAAAUAUUUUUCUUAAAAAAUCAACAAAAAAAAAUACUUCACCCCAAGAAUAAGUCUAAGACACUCAAACAACUAUUGACUUAAACAAAUAAUAAAAUUCUCAGGUCAAAUAAAUAAAACACAAGAGUAAGGCAAAAAACUACUAAGAUACAAUUUGCAAACUGAAAAAAAAAACUUUU
RNAcentral lists this long non-coding RNA (252 nucleotides) under Lathyrus oleraceus (garden pea). RNAcentral describes it as "Pisum sativum (pea) long non-coding RNA (PSAT_LNC003133)". Lineage: Eukaryota; Viridiplantae; Streptophyta; Magnoliopsida; Fabales; Fabaceae. The record is from RNAcentral.